This 63-nucleotide transfer RNA is filed under the name Lepinotus reticulatus. RNAcentral describes it as "tRNA-Cys". Lineage: Eukaryota; Metazoa; Arthropoda; Insecta; Psocodea; Trogiidae. The record is from RNAcentral.
AAAUUUAUAGUUUAAAGUAAGAUAUUAAAUUGCAAAUUUAAAGAUGUUUAAAAACUAAAUUUU